Molecule: long non-coding RNA, 519 nt
Organism: Salmo salar (Atlantic salmon)
Lineage: Eukaryota; Metazoa; Chordata; Actinopteri; Salmoniformes; Salmonidae
Source: RefSeq, a predicted model, not a curated record
CCGUGACUUUGACUUUGACUUUGAGUUUGACUUCCGGCCUGUUGAGAUGAAUCGCUUACUCAGGGAGGGAGGAGAUGUUUCUCAAUAUGGAUCAAAUUGUUAAAAUGAAUCAAGGCGUUGGAGCACAGGCUAGCUCCUUGCAGAAUCUUGACAAAAGAGAAUGUGGACUAAGAUCUGGCAGUUGCAGUGCCCAGACAAGGUGAGAGCAAACUGCUACAGAGAUAAAAAGGAAUCUCCAAAUGCAAUGUUGAACGAGCACCAUGGAUGAAGGAGGGGGAGGAAAACAGACAGCUUCUUUCUACCAAACAUACAAUGUUUGCUUCAUGAACAAUAGUUACAUCUGAAAUAAAUACAGAAUUCUUUUAGUUUAUUCAGUUUUUUAUGCUGGAUGUGAGUAAUUUAGCAGGUUUAUAUUAUAAUGUAUUGUUUUGAAAUGUUCAUUAAAUAUCUAUUCAGUCAAAACUCACUUAUUAUUUUACGUUUGCUAAAAUAAUGUAUGUUUUGUACUGUUACUUUUUA